This 406-nucleotide ribosomal RNA is filed under the name uncultured bacterium. Its description in RNAcentral is "partial 16S ribosomal RNA". It matches the Rfam family "Bacterial small subunit ribosomal RNA", at positions 30 to 526 of the family's 1533-position model. The record is from RNAcentral.
AUUGAACGCUGGCGGCAGGCCUAACACAUGCAAGUCGAACGAGUGGCGGACGGGUGAGUAAUGUCUGGGAAACUGCCUGAUGGAGGGGGAUAACUACUGGAAACGGUAGCUAAUACCGCAUACCAUCGGAUGUGCCCAGAUGGGAUUAGCUAGUAGGUUGAGUAAUGGCUCACCUAGGCGACGAUCCCUAGAUGGGCUGAGAGGAUGACCAGCAACCUAUGAACGGAGACACGGUACAGACUCCUACGGGAGGCAGCAGUGGGGAAUAUUGCACACUGGACGCAAGCCUGAUGCAGCCAUGCCGCGUGUGUUAAGAAGGCCUUCGGGUUUUAACGCACUUUCAGCAAGGAGGCGGUACUCGCAGAAGAAGCACAGGCUAACUACGUGCCAGCAGCCGCGGUAAUAC